GUUGCCCAGGCUCAGCAGAUAGGACAGUUAAAUUCUGGGACCUUGAAACCUUUGAGCUAAUUGGUUCAGCUGGACCUGAGACCACUGGAGUGCGUUGUUUGACUUUUAACCCUGAUGGACGGACCCUACUUUGUGGAUUGCAUGAGAGUUUGAAGGUUUUCUCAUGGGAGCCGAUUAGAUGCCAUGAUGGCGUGGAUGUGGGAUGGUCUAAAUUAUCAGAUCUUAAUGUUCACGAGGGAAAACUUCUCGGCUGCUCAUAUAAUCAAAGUUGUGUAGGAGUAUGGGUUGUAGAU
Long non-coding RNA from Morus notabilis, 293 nucleotides. RefSeq lists it as uncharacterized. The record is from RefSeq and is a predicted model, not a curated record. The transcript is spliced from 3 exons. Lineage: Eukaryota; Viridiplantae; Streptophyta; Magnoliopsida; Rosales; Moraceae.